RNAcentral lists this ribosomal RNA (253 nucleotides) under uncultured bacterium. Its description in RNAcentral is "partial 16S ribosomal RNA". It matches the Rfam family "Bacterial small subunit ribosomal RNA", at positions 524 to 776 of the family's 1533-position model. The record is from RNAcentral.
UACGUAGGGGGCAAGCGUUGUCCGGAAUCAUUGGGCGUAAAGAGCGUGUAGGCGGCUCGGUAAGUCCGCUGUGAAAGCCCCGGGCUCAACCUGGGAAUUGCAUUCGAGACUGCAUGGCUUGGGUGCGGAAGAGGGAAGCGGAAUUUCCGGUGUAGCGGUGAAAUGCGUAGAUAUCGGAAGGAACACCAGUGGCGAAAGCGGCUUCCUGGUCCGACACCGACGUUCAGGCACGAAAGCGUGGGGAGCAAACAGG